This is a long non-coding RNA of Tupaia belangeri chinensis (Chinese tree shrew), 552 nucleotides long. RefSeq lists it as uncharacterized. Lineage: Eukaryota; Metazoa; Chordata; Mammalia; Scandentia; Tupaiidae. The record is from RefSeq and is a predicted model, not a curated record. The transcript has 3 exons.
GUCACAUCAUUCCAUUCGAUGGUGGCAAUUUCAUUGUUCCUCAUCCCAGCAAAGGCAUAGAUGAGGGUGAAAAGGUCUGCUACAAGAGUGAGGUACUAUGUUCAUCAUGUACACCUGCAGACAAGGCUAUGGCACAACUGGCCGAUCCAGCAAGGGAUUGACAGAAUCAGCAGUAUCGCUUCCACCCUGACAGACCCUGAAGACCAGAGGAGAUAGCUGUCCUUUGCCACUUCCACCAAACAUGUCAAUUUAUCAUCAAGUGCCCUGCAAGUAGUAUUUAUCCCUCUCUGAAAGAGGGGCUAUAAUUUAGGUUUUGUCAGUAAGGGCCAAGAGAAGAGAGAGGGGUUAUCAGUGGUAAAGGUUCAUAUUUAACCAUGUAUUAAAGAAUCCACCAUGGCAGAAAGUAGAAGUAUAAAGUGGAGGUGUAUUAACUGCAUGGUAGAAGCAAGAGGAACUCCAACCCCUGCUAUAAUGUGGCUUUUCUUUUAACGUUUUCCUUCUCUAAGGAAACUGAAGAGUACAUUGGAAUGUGGUAUGGCAAUAAAGACAAUA